AUGCUGGUUCCUUCCCUGUCCGGCCAGAGUUGGUGAGCUCCCAUUAGCUCAGGGAGAUAGUUCUGUUCCUGGCAGCACCAAUCUACUUCAUUUCAUAAAAGGAUGACGAGUACUGAAGAAUCUCCAUAUGGAGUUUGCUUUCAAUUCUGCAAAGCUGGC
This is a non-coding RNA of Myodes glareolus (Bank vole), 159 nucleotides long. NCBI's taxonomy places the organism in Eukaryota, Metazoa, Chordata, Mammalia, Rodentia, Cricetidae. The record is from RefSeq and is a predicted model, not a curated record.